This 490-nucleotide ribosomal RNA is filed under the name uncultured bacterium. RNAcentral describes it as "partial 16S ribosomal RNA". It matches the Rfam family "Bacterial small subunit ribosomal RNA", at positions 30 to 507 of the family's 1533-position model. The record is from RNAcentral.
AUUGAACGCUGGCGGCAGGCCUAACACAUGCAAGUCGAACGGUAACAGGAAGAAGCUUGCUUCUUUGCUGACGAGUGGCGGACGGGUGAGUAAUGUCUGGGAAACUGCCUGAUGGAGGGGGAUAACUACUGGAAACGGUAGCUAAUACCGCAUAACGUCGCAAGACCAAAGAGGGGGACCUUCGGGCCUCUUGCCAUCGGAUGUGCCCAGAUGGGAUUAGCUAGUAGGUGGGGUAACGGCUCACCUAGGCGACGAUCCCUAGCUGGUCUGAGAGGAUGACCAGCCACACUGGAACUGAGACACGGUCCAGACUCCUACGGGAGGCAGCAGUGGGGAAUAUUGCACAAAGGGCGCAAGCCUGAUGCAGCCAUGCCGCGUGUAUGAAGAAGGCCUUCGGGUUUUAAAGUACUUUCAGCGGGGAGGAAGGGAGUAAAGUUAAUACCUUUGCUCAUUGACGGUACCCGCAGAAGAAGCACCGGCUAACUCCGUG